RNAcentral lists this ribosomal RNA (488 nucleotides) under Enterobacter cloacae. RNAcentral's name for it is "bacterial LSU rRNA". It matches the Rfam family "Bacterial large subunit ribosomal RNA", at positions 1 to 520 of the family's 2925-position model. The record is from RNAcentral. Lineage: Bacteria; Pseudomonadati; Pseudomonadota; Gammaproteobacteria; Enterobacterales; Enterobacteriaceae.
GGGUUGUGAGGUUAAGCGACUAAGCGUACACGGUGGAUGCCCUGGCAGUCAGAGGCGAUGAAGGACGUGCUAAUCUGCGAAAAGCGCCGGCGAGGUGAUAUGAACCCUUGACCCGGCGAUGUCCGAAUGGGGAAACCCAGUGUGAUUCGUCACACUAUCGUUAACUGAAUACAUAGGUUAACGAGGCGAACCGGGGGAACUGAAACAUCUAAGUACCCCGAGGAAAAGAAAUCAACCGAGAUUCCCCCAGUAGCGGCGAGCGAACGGGGAGCAGCCCAGAGUCUGAAUCAGCUUGUGUGUUAGUGGAAGCGUCUGGAAAGUCGCACGGUACAGGGUGAUAGUCCCGUACACGAAAGCACACAGGCUGUGAACUCGAAGAGUAGGGCGGGACACGUGGUAUCCUGUCUGAAUAUGGGGGGACCAUCCUCCAAGGCUAAAUACUCCUGACUGACCGAUAGUGAACCAGUACCGUGAGGGAAAGGCGAAAA